This 4887-nucleotide long non-coding RNA is filed under the name Homo sapiens (human). RNAcentral describes it as "HSALNT0380183". Lineage: Eukaryota; Metazoa; Chordata; Mammalia; Primates; Hominidae. The record is from RNAcentral.
CAGCGAGACUCCAUCUCAAAAAAUAAAAUAAAAUAAAACUAAAAAUAAUAUGGAAAAGUAGGUCCAUUCUGUCUUCCCAGAAGUGUAAGCCCUGUGCUGUUGUUAUUUUUACAUGUCCUAAUUUCCUACUAGGCUCUUGAGUAAAUGUAGACUCAGAGAGGUUAAAUAAUUUGUUCAAUAUUAUACUGCCAGUGAUUCAGCAAGAACUGGAUACAAGGCAUUUGUCAAAAGCUCACCCUCUUUUUCAUGACCCUAUACUGCUAAAUAAAUGUUUACUGGAAGAAUGAACCAAUGAAAGCAAGUUCCCUUCCUUAGUCACAAUAGUUCUGUGAUUUUUGUUUUAAAACUCAGGAUAUAGUGAUGUAUUUCUCGUUUUUUAUCAUGAUCAAAAAUGCUUGAAGUCUAAGAGCUUAGAAACCACUAGUCAUUGCCAUUUAGGAAAUUUCCUAGAAUCCAACUGUGUGGUUUCUGCCAAUAAUUUAGGUUUUAUGAACACUGGUUGUACAGUAUCGGGCUCUGCUCACCUCUCAACCUGUAGACUGAGACUCACGUGAAGUUAUCAGGAGAACUAAAUAAAGAAAACUGCAGGGGACUGUAAGUGAAAAUAUGAGAGACAAACUAAUCCUCAACACUCUUUAAUAUAGGGCUUUCCAGAUGAAAGCAGUAACAAAUGCUGUAAGUGUGCAAGUUCCUGCGAUGGUUGAUCUUACGUGUCAAUCUGGCCAGGCUAUGGUGCCUAGUUGUGUAGUCAAACAGUAGUCUAGAUGUUGCUGUGAAGACUCUUUAAAAUGUGAUUAACAUUUAUAAUCACUGGACUUUUAGUAAAGCUCAUAAAUGUCCAUGGUGUGGUGAGCCUCAUCUAAUCAGUUGAAGGCCAUAAGAGCAAAAUCUGAUUCCUCAAAGAAGAAGGAAUUUUGCCUGAAUUUGCAGCCUGCAGGCCUACCCUGUGGAUUUAGGACAUGCCAGUCUCCACAGUACUGUGGUGUGUGUGUUGCCAUAUAUGUAUCUGUGUGUGUGUGUGUGUGUGCACAUCUGUAUGGAGAACCCUAAUACAGCACCUUACACAGCACACAGUACCUGGUCUGUAAGAACAAGACAAUAAAUUUUAGCUGAAUCUGCAUCAGCUUUCUGUUUAUACUGCUUUAGAAGUAUCCACUCAUUAUUUGAAGAAGUGUGUGUUAGAUGCUUGCCUUAGGCAGAACAUUAUAUGUUCUCCAAAGGUAUAAAAUUGUUUUCUUUCCUUAAGUAGUUUCCAACUUUUUGUUUCCAAGGCAACAAAAAACAUUGUCUCAUUCAGUUUUCUGUUGCUAUAAUGGAAUACCAGAGACUGGGUAAUUUACAAAGAAUAGAAGUUUACUGGCUCCAGGUUCUAGAGGCUGGGAACACCAAGGGCAUGGCAGCAGCAUCUGGUGGGGUUCUGUGCUACAUUACCCCAUGGUGGAAGGGCAGAGGGCAGAGGGCAGAAGAGGAAAGGCAGAAGAGAAAGACAGCAUGGGAGACAGCAAGAAAAUGGAGGCCAAAACUUAUCCUUUUAUCAGGAAUCCACUCCCACAAGAUUGCACAGAGUUCUUGAUAUUGAAGAGUGAACCAUGUUCAAGGAAGAAGAGAUCACCCCAUAAAACCCUUCCAGCUUGUGUUACAAUCAGAUGCCUCUAAGAUGGACAAAAAAGGCACACAGAGAUAUUCCCUACUCAGGCUCUGGUCAAAUCUCUCUCCACUUAAUGGAGCAUGGCUUUCAACUGCACCUGGAGCAUGUUUGUAAACAAUGCCAUCAGGAAUAAAAGUGUUUGAAGCUGAAGCUGGGUCUUCCAUCCAAAUGUGGAAAGCGUGCCAGAGGACUGUCUUUCCCAUUCCCGCCCCACCUGCACAGCCAUAGACAAAGCUCAGCUCCGGGAUAAGGAAUAAUGUCUACAGCUGCAGCUGCCAGAUCAAGCUGGAGUCCCUCCCUGAUCUGAUGCCAUAAAGUAGGAGCUCUCAGUCACCAUAGGAGGAAAUCACUACCUCAGGCUGCUCACUAGAACCUCUGGGAAGAAACAGAGCUCCCCACCAUAAGUCACGGCUUUGGGGUCAGAGUCUCUGGAUCCAAGCCUGGUUCUGCUACUUGAGCCUCUCUUGAGUCUCAAUUUCCUCCCUGAAUAUAGGGAUGAUAAUCCCUGUCCCAUGAGUUGCACUGGGGAAUAAAUGUGAUCAUCUAUACAGUGCACUCAACAGCGGGCAUGACCUGUGGGAAGGGUCCCAUUAGUGUCCACAUUGCCAGUUAUGCAGUGAAUAUCAUUCAUGUCUCAGCUUAUGUAUCAACCAACAGCAAUGCAGAGUUAUCCCUCCUGUAGUUAGUUGAAAGUAGCUGGUGCUGACUAUACUUCUAAGUUCUUACCAGUUGUCACUAGACCUUGUCAAAAUGGGAAAAGACAGACUUCUGAUAAACUCACUGUCAACUUAUAGGCAAUUUUAAUAGAAAAAAACAUAAUUCACUGCAGUUUUUAAAAAAAUCUACAAUGAGGUAUGAGCUAAAAGAGGAUUCCAUAGACUUGAGGUCAAAGUUCAUAGUGAAUCUCUUAAAACCUUACCUCCCUUUGCCUUUUUAGUAUUAUUAGUAUGUUACAUUAUAAUUCAUCCCCUGAUAGUGUUUUCAGGGCAUUGGAGUUUCUGAACACUUCAGAUUGUCUCCUAUGUCCUGCAAAGAUACCCCAUAAUGGUGUAGCUCUGUGAGAGUGAAGUGGUGGCUCUGCACCCUCAAGGUGCCUGGAGAGUCAGGUCCACUCAGUCAUGGUGUGCUGCCAGUUGCCAGACCUCUCUCUCUUCCUGCAUGCCAUGCAACUUUACAGACCAGGAAGGCACUCAAGGGCAGCACAGCCCUGGGGACACAUCCCGGUGCCUUAUGCUCUAAUGUUCAAGACCGCCUCAGCAUCUGCUUACUGUGCAGGAGCUAAGGGAGGCGAUCACCUCCACGGACCUAUCCUCAACAACAGCUCCUCUACACUAGAAGAUACUAGAAACAAAAGAGCUGUGCUCCUCUGGGCUGAGUUAGGAACUGGAACUGUCCAUCCCAGUGGAAGGAACUGGGUAAGCAUUUGCACUAGCAAUAAGCUCUCUGGCUUGUGGACCAUGAGCCACGGGGAUCCUUCAACACCAGUGGAGGUGAAGUGACUUUGAGUGCAUGGACUCCAUUCUCAGCAGGUUCACUUUUUAUGCUGUCAGAUCCGUAAACAAACGUUCGCCCCUUCCUGAAACAAAGCAGGAGAGGACAUUGCUGAUCUAUCAGGGCAUCCUGAUAACAUUCUGCCUCCACAACCAGCCAGUGGAGAAUGAUUAGAGAAACACGCUGGCUCUAAUCAGCUGGGGAUGUGAACACUGCUCAUUGCUUGAUUAUGUACUUUAAAUCAUGAAUACUCAGAACAAUCAUAAGAUAUAUAUACACUUAACAUAUACAUAUACCGCCUGUACACUCAACCAGAGGACAUACAUUGGUGGCUGCAGAACUCCGUUAUGAUAGCAUGGAGUUUCAUUUAGAUCAUUUCUUUUUUCACAUGACGCCUCCAAUUUACAUUUUAGUGUUGUUGGUGAUGGCUAUUGACUGAAUGUUUGCAUUCUCAUGAAAUUCAUAUGUUCAAAUCCUAAUCCUCCAUGUGAUGGUUUUAGAAGAUGGGCCUUUGGGGGGGUGAUUAAGUCAUCAGGGUGGAGAUCUCAUGAAUGGGAUUAAUGCCCUUGUGACAGAGACCAAGAGAGCUCUCUGGCUCUCUUUCCACCUCGUGAGGAUACAAUCAGAAGGCAACCAUCUGCAGCCGGAAGAGGGCCCUCACCGGAACCCAAGCCAGCUGGCCCCCGAUCGUGGCCUUCCAGCCUCCAGAACUGUGGGAAGUGGAUGUCUGUUGUUUGUGAGCCCCCCAGUCUACAGUGUUCUGUUACAGCAGCCCGAGCUGACUAAGACAGUGAUAUUACCAAUGAUGGCAAAACACCAAACAGUACAUGCUGAUCACUCAGAGUUCCUUCGUUGCCAGAUAUAGAAACGACUUUUCAAAUUCCAGCUAUAAUCCUCCCAAACCUCAACUGAGGAAAUGAAUCAUUAUCACCAACUGCAAACUCGCUGUUACCCUCCAGCAAUGACAAAGAGAGCCUUUCUCCUGUAGACCUCCCCCUAGGUGGGCCUGGGGCACACUUCCUUUCCUCCCAGCCGCCUGGGGACCUCGAAACUGCUUCUUCACUGACAGAAAUAGCAACAGACAAGCCUGGGAAGCUCCCCUAACCUCUUGCAAGGAGAAAUUAUUUUUCAUUUCCUUGAAGGUGUGGGCCCAGGCAGGCUGGCCGUACUCCCUCCCCACACAGCAAUCCCAGCACACCUAGGAGACAGGGUGGGGCAGAGAAAGAUGGGGGCUGCUAGGGCAGGAGGGCUGGCCCAGCCCCAGCAGGAUAACUGCCCUGGAGAGUACACACACCGUGGAGCCCAGUCCCACUCCCAGGAUCCAUCCUGACCAUGUCCAGUCAAGACUGACCAAGACUUCAUCCUCAGAGAGGAAGUCAUAAAGGAAUUCCUUGACAUGCUCCCCUUCUCUAAUCUGGUAUUAACAAAUGGUAUGACAGAAAAAUGAAAAAAGGAGGGAAGGGAGAAGUAAAUAAACUCCAGGUUUUGUGGACAUCAAAUUUUAAGAAAGCAAAUGAGAACUGAGUUCAGUAAUGAUCCCAGUCAUUCUUUAGCAAGGCAGGAGGAAGGAGUGAAAUAGCCUCCAUCUUCAAACAUCCCCAAUUCAAGGGACAAAAUUCCAUUGUACACUCCCUAACCAGUGAAUUCAGCUAUAGGCACUGCAGUCAUAUUGAUAGGUGAAGCCGGCUGGGCUUCUGAGUCAGUCGGGACUUGGAGAACUUUUCUGUCUAGCUAAAGGAUUGUAAAUG